GAUGAACGCUGGCGGCGUGCCUAAUACAUGCAAGUCGAACGAGGUGCUUUUUGUAGCAAUACGAGGAGUAUCCUAGUGGCGAACGGGUGAGUAACGCGUGGGUGACCUACCCCAAAGUGUGGAAUAACAGUCCGAAAGGAUUGCUAAUGCCGCAUGUGGUCUGCGAGUUUAGAAAUCGUUGACUAAAGGAGCAAUUCGCUUUGGGAGGGACCUGCGUCCCAUCAGCUAGUUGGUGAGGUAACGGCUCACCAAGGCUACGACGGGUAGGGGACCUGAGAGGGUGGCCCCCCACAAUGGAACUGAAACACGGUCCAUACACCUACGGGUGGCAGCAGUAGGGAAUAUUGCACAAUGGGCGAAAGCCUGAUGCAGCAACGCCGCGUGCGCGAUGAAGGUCUUCGGAUCGUAAAGCGCUUUUCUGAGAGAUGAGAAAGGACAGUAUCUCAGGAAUAAGUCUCGGCUAACUACGUGCCAGCAGCCGCGGUAAUGU
Molecule: ribosomal RNA, 490 nt
Filed under: uncultured bacterium
Lineage: Bacteria
Description: bacterial SSU rRNA
Rfam family: Bacterial small subunit ribosomal RNA
Source: RNAcentral